UACGUAGGGGGCUAGCGUUGUUCGGAAUCACUGGGCGGAAAGCGCACGUCGGCUGAUUGGUCAGUUGGGGGUGAAAUCCCGGGGCUCAACCUCGGAACUGACUUCAAUACUGCCAGUCUUGAGUCCGAGAGAGGUGAGUGGAAUUCCUAGUGUAGAGGUGAAAUUCGUAGAUAAUAGGAAGAACACCAGUGGCGAAGGCGGCUCACUGGCUCGGUACUGACGCUGAGGUGCGAAAGCGUGGGGAGCAAGCAGG
This 253-nucleotide ribosomal RNA is filed under the name uncultured bacterium. RNAcentral describes it as "partial 16S ribosomal RNA". It matches the Rfam family "Bacterial small subunit ribosomal RNA", at positions 524 to 776 of the family's 1533-position model. The record is from RNAcentral.